GACGAACCGUGCGAACGUUGUUCGGAUUCACUGGGCUUAAAGGGCGCGUAGGCGGGCACUCAAGUCAGGGGUGAAAUCUUUCGGCUUAACCGGAAAAGGGCCUUUGAUACUGGGUGUCUGGAGGGAGGUAGGGGCGUGUGGAACUUCCGGUGGAGCGGUGAAAUGCGUAGAUAUCGGAAGGAACGCCGGUGGCGAAAGCGACGCGCUGGACCUCUUCUGACGCUGAGGCGCGAAAGCCAGGGGAG
Molecule: ribosomal RNA, 245 nt
Filed under: uncultured bacterium
Lineage: Bacteria
Description: partial 16S ribosomal RNA
Rfam family: Bacterial small subunit ribosomal RNA
Source: RNAcentral